This 23-nucleotide non-coding RNA is filed under the name Rattus norvegicus (Norway rat). The record is from RNAcentral. Lineage: Eukaryota; Metazoa; Chordata; Mammalia; Rodentia; Muridae.
UUGUUUGCCAUUGGUAGGUGUGC